CGAUCUGUAGCUGGUCUGAGAGGACUACCUGCCACACUGGGACUGAGACACGGCCCAGACUCCUUCGUGAGGCAUCAGUGUGUAAUUUUUUUUAAUGGGCGCCAGCCUGAUCCUUCCAUGCCGCGUGCAGGAUGAAGGCCUUCGGGUUGUAAACUGCUUUUGUACGGAACGAGAAAGCCUUCUCUAAUAAAGGGGGUGAAUGACCGUACCGUAUAAAUAACCACCGGCUAACUACGUGCCAGCAGCCGCGGUAAUACGUAGGGUGCAAGCGUUAAUCGGAAUUACUGGGCGUAAAGCGUGCGCUGGCGGUUAUGUAAUACAGAGGUGAAAUCCCCGGGCUCAACCUGGGAACUGCCUUUGUGACUGCAUAGCUGGAGUGCGGCAGAGGGGGAUGGAAUUCCGCGUGUAGCAGUGAAAUGCGUAGAUAUGCGGAGGAACACCGAUGGCGAAGGCAAUCCCCUGGGCCUGCACUGACGCUCGUGCACGAAAGCGUGGGGAGCAAACAGGAUUAGAUACCCUGGUAGUCCACGCCCUAAACGAUGUCAACUGGUUGUUGGGUCUUCACUGACUCAGUAACGAAGCUAACGCGUGAAGUUGACCGCCUGGGGAGUACGGCCGCAAGGUUAAAACUCAAAGGAAUUGACGGGG
RNAcentral lists this ribosomal RNA (648 nucleotides) under uncultured bacterium. RNAcentral's name for it is "bacterial SSU rRNA". It matches the Rfam family "Bacterial small subunit ribosomal RNA", at positions 277 to 918 of the family's 1533-position model. The record is from RNAcentral.